Molecule: non-coding RNA, 6507 nt
Organism: Anolis sagrei ordinatus
Lineage: Eukaryota; Metazoa; Chordata; Lepidosauria; Squamata; Anolidae
Source: RefSeq, a predicted model, not a curated record
CUCGCGCGCACGCGCACGCGCUCCACUUUCUUCAGCGGCGUCGGCGAAGUCGUUCGGAAGUUCAAAAUGGCCGCGGCGACGGUAGUGGAGCUGGGACUGCAGGGCUCUGGUAUUGACGAGGCUGAUAUUUCUGAGAGAAGUGCAAAUGAAGAAAAUGGAGAUAUUUCAGAAGGUGACCAACCUCAGACAAAGCACAACCGACAUAAAAAAAAGAAGCACAAACAUAGAGGCAAACAUAAGAAACACAAACAUUCUUCAGAAGAAGAUAAGGACAAAAAGCAUAAACAUAGGCACAAGCAUAAGAAGCAUAAACGAAAGGAGGCUGCUGAUGCUUCUGAUAAGGAAGAUGGGCCAGCAAAAAGAACUAAAAUUGAUUUCUUAGCGCCCCUGGAAGAUUUAGAAAAACAAAGAGCAUUACUUAAAGCUGAACUUGAAAAUGAGCUAAUGGAAGGAAAAGUUCAAUCUGGCAUGGGAUUGAUUUUGCAGGGUUAUGAGUCAGGUUCUGAAGAAGAGGGAGAAAUCAAUGAUAAGAUGAGAAAUGGGACUAGAUCUUCAACUAAAGCAUCUUCUAUUAAGGCGAAACUAGAGAUUGUGGACAAUAAAUCUAGUUCAAAGAAGCAGAGUAAGAGCAGAUCAAAAGAACGGACUCGACACAGAUCUGAUAAAAAGAAGAGCAAAUUAGGAGCUGAUGGUAUAAAGGAAAGAACAGCUAGAAGUAAAUCAAAAGAGAGAAAAAAAUCAAAAAGUCCAUCAAAAAGAACCAAGUCUCAAGACCAAGUAGGAAAGUCAAAAUCUCCAACCCUUAGAAGACGUUCUCAAGAGAAAAAUAGGAAGUCGAAAUCUCCAGAAGAUAAGAGCAAAGCAGAAGAAAAGAUUAAGUCAAGAGAGCGUAAAAAAUCUCCAGUUGUUAUUGAAAGUAAAAGCAAAGAUCGUGGCAAAAAAUCUAAAUCCCCAGUAGAGCAAAGGAGCAAAUCCAAAGACAGAAGAUCAAGAUCUAAAGAGCGAAAAUCUAGAAGAUCAGAGACUGAAAGAGAUAAAAAGCCCACUAAAUCUCCUUCUAAAGAUGCAUCAUCAGGGAAAGAAAACAGGUCUCCCAGUCGUAGACCUGGUCGUAGCCCAAAAGGAAGAAGUUUGUCUCCAAAACCACGGGAUAAGCUAAGACGUAGCAGAUCACCUCUCCUGAAUGAUCGCAGAUCUAAACAGAGUAAAUCGCCAUCCCGAAAUCGGUCUCCCAGUAGGAGAGCAAAAAGCAGAUCAUUAGAGCGAAAAAGAAGAGAGUCUGAAAGGAGACGGUUUUCUUCUCCCAGAACACGAACAAGAGAUGAUAUUCUCUCUAGGAGUGAGCGCUCAAAAGAUGCAAGUCCACCUAGAUGGUCCCCAUCGAGAAGAAGAUCCAGAUCUCCCAUUCGACGAAGGUCUCGCUCACCUUUACGUCGUAGUCGGUCUCCAAGAAGGAGGAGUAGAUCUCCCCGUAGAAGGGAUAGAUAUCGACGAAGUAGAUCUCGCCUUAGAAGGAGAUCCAGGUCACGGGGUGGCCACAGACGUCGAAGUAGGAGCAAAAUAGAAGAUAAAUUUAAAGGAAGCCUUUCUGAAGGAAUGAAAGUUGAGCAGGAAUCUUCAUCAGAUGAAAACCUUGAAGACUAUGAUGUUGAAGAAGAAGAUGAAGAGGCUCUCAUAGAACAGAGAAGAUUACAGAGGCAAGCAAUUGUACAGAAAUACAAGUAUGUAACUGAAGAUAGUAACAUGUCCAUGCCAUCUGAACCAAGCAGUCCUCAGAGCAGUACUCGCAGUCGCUCAAACUCACCAGAUGAUAUUCUCGAACGAGUUGCUGCUGAUGUGAAAGAGUAUGAGCGAGAAAAUAUGGACACAUUUGAGGCCUCAGUGAAGGCUAAGCACAACCUUAUGACAGUUGAGCAAAAUAAUGGGUCAUCUCAGAAGAAAAUCACCGCUCCUGAUAUGUUUACAGAAUCAGAUGAUAUGUUUGCUGCAUAUUUUGAUAGUGCACGCCUUAGAGCUGCUGGCAUUGGAAAAGAUUUCAAAGAAAACCCCAAUCUCAGGGAUAAUUGGACAGAUGCAGAGGGGUAUUAUCGUGUUAACAUUGGUGAAGUCCUAGAUAAACGUUAUAAUGUAUAUGGCUACACAGGCCAAGGAGUUUUCAGUAAUGUAGUGAGGGCCAGAGAUAUGGCAAGAGCAAACCAAGAAGUGGCUGUCAAAAUUAUAAGAAACAACGAGCUUAUGCAAAAAACGGGCUUAAAAGAAUUGGAAUUUUUGAAGAAGCUUAAUGAUGCAGAUCCUGAUGACAAGUUUCAUUGUCUUCGAUUGUUUCGCCAUUUUUAUCACAAGCAGCAUCUCUGUCUUGUAUUUGAACCACUCAGUAUGAAUUUACGCGAGGUAUUAAAGAAGUACGGAAAAGAUGUUGGUCUUCACAUAAAGGCUGUACGAUCCUACAGUCAGCAGUUGUUCCUGGCACUCAAACUUCUUAAAAGAUGCAACAUACUGCAUGCUGAUAUCAAACCAGACAAUAUUUUAGUGAAUGAGUCUAAAACCAUUUUAAAGCUUUGUGACUUUGGAUCAGCGUCCCAUGUUGCUGAUAAUGACAUUACGCCAUAUCUUGUCAGUCGAUUUUAUCGUGCUCCUGAAAUCAUUAUAGGCAAAAUCUAUGACUACGGUAUAGAUAUGUGGUCUGUAGGCUGUACCUUAUAUGAACUUUACACAGGAAAAAUAUUGUUUCCUGGGAAAACCAAUAACCAUAUGUUGAAACUUGCAAUGGACCUCAAAGGAAAGAUGCCAAACAAGAUGAUCCGAAAAGGUGUUUUCAAAGAUCAGCACUUCGAUCAAAACCUUAACUUCAUGUACAUAGAGGUAGAUAAAGUCACCGAAAGGGAAAAAGUCACUGUCAUGAGCACCAUUAACCCAACAAAGGACCUGCUAGCAGAUUUGAUUGGGUGCCAACGUCUUCCCGAAGACCAGCGCAAAAAGGUUCACCAGCUGAAGGACUUGUUGGACCAGAUCCUCAUGUUGGAUCCUGCAAAGCGGAUUAGUAUCAACCAGGCACUGCAACAUGCCUUCAUCCAGGAGAAAAUUUAAAUCCAGUGAAGAUAUUCAAAGGGUUUGAAUAGUUAAUAUACAAAGACUGAUGAGAUUUCACAGCAGUUGAUAAGUGUACAUAUAACAUAUAAAUAAUUUCCUGGCGAAGUUGAGGAAGAGUGAUAUGUGAGUUAACACGAAGUCGGAUAUUUCUUUUAGAAAUGUUAGAAUACUGGCUCUUGUGUUUACCUUUUUCACUGUAGAACUGUUUUAAUUGCCACAACUGCACAGAAAUACAGUGCUAAUGUAUAUGGUUGCAGUUCUAUAAUAUAAUAUAUAUACAUAUAUAUAUAAAAAAAAUACAUAGGCAUAAUCAAAAAUACAGAUGCACAUGCACACUGUCCUUUCCUUCCUUCCCUCCCUGCCUCUCUCAAAUACAUAUAAACAAAGCGACUGUUAGCAAAAAACAGUUAAGACCGGGUGGUUGAUUGUGGUUUUUAGCAGAAUUGGCUUCAUUUGGGUCUCUGAAAAAUGGCCAGCGUAAAUGCUGUUUAUAUUGCGUUUUCCUAGGUGUGUGCGUGCAGGCCACAGCAGCAUGCCCUUGGUGUGUAGUCAGUGCCGAAGGGGGCCUGUUCCUUCUUGCGCCUGCCCCGCAGGGAUGGCCUCCUCUUUUAAAGCAGGUUGCGUACAACUUUCAGUACACUGAAGGUAAGCUAAACCAUCAACAUCGCUGGUGUUUAAGAUGUUAAUUGUACUGGAACAACUGACAAAUAAGGGCUUUGUAGCAGAAUUCCCUGCAUGUUUUAUAAAUGACCUUGUUUUUGUUUUCUGGCAUUACAACUGUGGCAUAAUUCCAACUUCUGUUUGAUCAUCACAUUCAAAGAAUAAAAUGGGGGAAUGUGCACUUGAUGGAGAGAGCGCCUUCAGUGUACUGUUUAUUACUUUUGUUUCUUUAAAAACAUCAACUUGCUAUAUAGACUUUAUACCUUUUGUGAAAGACAGUUCAGACAUGAGAGAACUCCAUUUACUAACAAAUGUUCAGCUUUGGUUCUAAAAGAACGUCCUUUCUCAUGACCAGAUAGAAAACACCAUAAUGAAAUUUUUAACUAUUUGUAUGUCAUUUGAAAGUGUACUGCUUUAUGCUGCAGGUGUUUUUUGUUUGUUCAUUGUUUUCAUUCUUUGUGAUCAUGUUGUCUUUCAAUACAGGCAUAAACCUUCCACUCUUGAGCAAAGCAGCUGCUUUUUAAAAGCGACAAAGGAAGGCAAGUCACAGGCCACUCAACGCCUACUCCAGGGGGUCUGGUUUGCUGAGACACCAACUUCACCUUCCUAACAAGGUGCCGCUCAAAUGAAGACGAUGGCAACCAGAAGACAUGAACAAAGGGUAAGUGGCAGAAAAUCUCUGUGAAACAUUUGCAUGGCACGAAGUGGGCUCAAGAGGCAGAUGUGUCUGUGAAAACAUAGAAAGAAGGCUUGGCUCUGAGAUUGGCAAGCUGUAACAUAAAUGUCUGCACCAGUAUGAAGCCACAGUUCGUUUUAAGAUAACAGCUUUUACUCUUUAAUUUUAACUUUGUCAAAAAUCUUUUGAUAAAUGUAAUUCCCUUUAUUUUUGUACUUAUUCAUGCGGGAUUCUGUUAAUUGUUAGAUAACAUUGCAGUAGCACCUUCCUGCACUGAAUUUUAAGCAUUAUAGUGCAUUGCUCAUUUGUUUAGUAGGCUUGCUCAAAGGCUAUAGACUCCCAAUUUGCCUAUUUAUUCUGGGAGAGACUGCCUACACUCUCACUCCAGGGAGUUAUUCCCUUCCUAAAAAUGUACAUUUUUCACAAUUUACCUCUGUCAAAAUUGGAGACAUCACCUUUCCCAAGGCCUACCCUCAUCUACUGUAGCAGAGAAGAAUCCGUUGUUGUUUGCUGAUCAGAGACAACAGAAAUUUCCUUGGAAAAUGGAGGGGGAGAAAAACCAUUUGUUUCAAGUUGCUACUUCCACCUUUGUUCCUUUAGUGCUUGCAAGUACCAUCUUAUUACACUUUGUUUGUCCUUCCUAUUGAGGAAGAGGAAAGACUGUUGUCUGCAAGUACAGGUUGAGCCCCUUUUAUCCAGAAACCUGGAAUGAAAAAAACUAUUUUUUUGCCCGCAACCACCUGCUUCCACCUUGAAGACAGCAGCUGCAGCAUUCCUGCUUUUAUUCAUCUUUCAGAUCUUCAAUCUUCUCCUAGCUUCACAAGUCCAGAAGAGAGACUGAGGACCUGAAAAAUGAACAAGCAGUAGUGCUACAUCUGCCACCUCAAAGGUGGAAGUCAGCAGAAAAGAACUGAAAGAGAAAAUGCCAACCCUGUAGUCUUGAAGGCAAAAACUAAUGGCUAGCAGCAAUAAGCAAAAUAAUCUAAAAUACGGAACACUUUUGUCCCCAAGCAUUUGGAUUAAGUGAUACCCAACCUGUGCCACACCCUUUCAGGUCACUCUUGAUAGUGAUGCUUGGGAUGCCAUGAUGUUAUUUGAUCAGUGGAGGUCUGAGAAGAGGAUCUAGACCCUGCCCAAAGAUGAUUCUCCACUUUAGGUCUCAAAAAUUGUCCUAGUAUCUGAAAAUAGAUGAGGUAUUAAACACAUUCCUGUGGAGACAUCUGUGCCUUUCUAAAGCAAUACAUUUUAAGCCAAACUGAAGUGUCACCUCACCAAUAAUGCAUGUGUUCACAAGCUACCACCAUUGAGGCUAUUCUUCUGCUUCUUUUCUUUAUAUUAACUGUCAACCUUUUCCCAUAAAGUAAUUGCAGUUUAUGUAAGCAUUGAGUCAUUUAUACUACAAGCUAUAUCAGAUACAGCAUUGAAGGUGUUUAAGACUGUUUUUAAAUGUAGCAGGUAAACUUCUUUAGAUAAAGGCUCAACAAGAAAAAAUAUUUCAAAUGUGUACCAUUUUGUGGAUAUCUUCAAGUUGAAGAUAAAGUGUAGCAUAUCUGAUAAUGGACUAAUGCUACAAAAUGUUAGUUUUUUAAAGGCAGCCUUCAACACUGCCUUCAGAUGAAGAUAGACAACUCUAAUUCUAACCUGCACAGCUGCCUGGGAAGUUGUCAAAUUUAGCUGCAGGGGACUAGGUUGGGGAAAACCAUUUUCAUGAGCCAAAAGUUUCUUCAUUCUAGUUUAAUCCGUGUUCUUUUGCUCUUCAGCUUUAUUAGAAGCCAAAUAGAGAUAAAACACAUUUUAGAAGAUGGUGGAAAUACCCAAUUUAUUAUGCAAAGGUUUAGAAUUUAGUAUUAUGGUUUCACCCUUAUUAAAAAAAUAACCACAGAUUAGCAACUUUAACUGAGUAAAAUCACUUGCAGAAUCGCAGAAGCUUUUCCUUGCUGUAAAUACUUCAGUGUACUUAUAAUAAAUAUUGACUGUCAAGGAUCAGUUCUCUUUGAUAGAAACACCCUGCAUUUGUGUAAUUGUAGUGUCUGUUGUGUUAUUGAGUUUUUGUCAAAUAAAUACUUAGUUGUUACCUUAAA